RNAcentral lists this ribosomal RNA (468 nucleotides) under uncultured bacterium. RNAcentral's name for it is "partial 16S ribosomal RNA". It matches the Rfam family "Bacterial small subunit ribosomal RNA", at positions 28 to 507 of the family's 1533-position model. The record is from RNAcentral.
GACGAACGCUGGCGGCGUGCUUAACACAUGCAAGUCGAACGGAAAGGCCCUGCUUUUGUGGUGUGCUCGAGUGGCGAACGUGUGAGUAACACGUGAGUAACCUGCCCUUGACUUUGGUAUAACUUCAGGAAACUGGGGCUAAUACCGGAUAGUAGCUCCUGCUGCAUUGUGGGCGUUGGAAAGUUUCGGCGGUUGGGGAUUUAGUCGCGGCUUAUCAUCUUGUUGGUGGGGUAGUGGCUUACCAAGGAUUUGACGGGUAGCCGGACUGAGAGGGUGAGCGGCAAAAUGGGGACUGAGAGACGGAGCAGACGAGUACGGGAGGGAGAAGUGGGGAAAAUUGCAAAAAGGGAGGAAGGAUGAUGCAGAAAGGGAGCGUGCGGGAUGACGGGCUUCGGGUUGUAAAAAGAUGUGGAAUGUGAAGAAGCGUGAGUGACGGUAAUGGGUAAAGAAGCAACGGCUAACUACGUG